ACGGCCGCAUGACUGUCCGAGUGAAGAUUUAUCGGUAUGAGAUGGCGAUGCGUCCCAUUAGCUAGUUGGUGAGGUAAUGGCUCACCAAGGCAUCGAUGGGUAGGGGUUCUGAGAGGAAGGUCCCCCACAUUGGAACUGAGACACGGUCCAAACUCCUACGGGAGGCAGCAGUGAGGAAUAUUGGUCAAUGGACGAAAGUCUGAACCAGCCAAGUAGCGUGCAGGAUGACGGCCCUCUGGGUUGUAAACUGCUUUUAGUUGGGAAUAAAAAGAGGGACGUGUCCCUUAUUGUAUGUACCAUCAGAAAAAGGACCGGCUAAUUCCGUGCCAGCAGCCGCGGUAAUACGGAAGGUCCAGGCGUUAUCCGGAUUUAUUGGGUUUAAAGGGAGCGCAGGCGGCGGCGUAAGUCAGUUGUGAAAUCGUGCGGCUUAACCGUGCAAUUGCAGUUGAUACUGCGUCGCUUGAGUGCACACAGGGAUGUUGGAAUUCAUGGUGUAGCGGUGAAAUGCUUAGAUAUCAUGAAGAACUCCGAUCGCGAAGGCAUAUGUCCGGAGUGCAACUGACGCUGAGGCUCGAAAGUGUGGGUAUCAAACAGGAUUAGAUACCCUGGUAGUCCACACAGUAAACGAUGAAUACUCGCGGUUGGUUCGUUAGAAUCAGCCGCCAAGCGAAAGCGUUAAGUAUUCCACCUGGGGAGUAC
Molecule: ribosomal RNA, 699 nt
Filed under: uncultured bacterium
Lineage: Bacteria
Description: bacterial SSU rRNA
Rfam family: Bacterial small subunit ribosomal RNA
Source: RNAcentral